RNAcentral lists this transfer RNA (73 nucleotides) under Propionibacteriaceae bacterium. Its description in RNAcentral is "tRNA-Ile". It matches the Rfam family "tRNA". From Rfam's summary of the family: Transfer RNA (tRNA) molecules are approximately 80 nucleotides in length. Their secondary structure includes four short double-helical elements and three loops (D, anti-codon, and T loops). The record is from RNAcentral. Lineage: Bacteria; Bacillati; Actinomycetota; Actinomycetes; Propionibacteriales; Propionibacteriaceae.
AACGCGGUAGAGAAGACGGUAACUCGCUGGACUCAUUCUCCAGAGGUCGCAGGUUCGAGUCCUGCCCGCGCCA